This 349-nucleotide ribosomal RNA is filed under the name uncultured fungus. RNAcentral describes it as "SSU rRNA". It matches the Rfam family "Eukaryotic small subunit ribosomal RNA", at positions 20 to 371 of the family's 1831-position model. The record is from RNAcentral. Lineage: Eukaryota; Fungi.
GUAGUCAUAUGCUUGUCUCAAAGAUUAAGCCAUGCAUGUCUAAGUAUAAGCAACUUGUACAGUGAAACUGCGAAUGGCUCAUUAAAUCAGUUAUCGUUUAUUUGAUAAUCCCUUACUACAUGGAUACCUGUGGUAAUUCUAGAGCUAAUACAUGCUUCAAGGAGUGGCUUUCGUCACUCUGCACUUAUUAGAUAAAAAACCAAUGCCCCUUUGGGGCUCCUUGGUGAUUCAUAAUAAUUUAGCGGACCGCAUUCCCUCGAGGAGGCGGUGGAUCAUUCAAAUUUCUGCCCUAUCAACUUUCGAUGGUAGGAUAGUGGCCUACCAUGGUUUCAACGGGUAACGGGGAAUA